UACAGAGGUGGCAAGCGUUGUUCGGAAUUACUGGGCGUAAAGCGUGCGUAGACGGUUAUUUAAGUCGGGUGUGAAAGCCCCGGGCUCAACCUGGGAAUUGCAUUCGAGACUGAAUAGCUAGGGUGCGGAAGAGGGAAGCGGAAUUUCCGGUGUAGCGGUGAAAUGCGUAGAUAUCGGAAGGAACACCAGUGGCGAAAGCGGCUUCCUGGUCCAGCACCGACGUUCAGGCACGAAAGCGUGGGGAGCAAACAGG
This 253-nucleotide ribosomal RNA is filed under the name uncultured bacterium. RNAcentral describes it as "partial 16S ribosomal RNA". It matches the Rfam family "Bacterial small subunit ribosomal RNA", at positions 524 to 776 of the family's 1533-position model. The record is from RNAcentral.